UACGGGAGACAGCAGUUAGGAAUAUUCGUCAAUGGGGGAAACCCUGAACGAGCAAUGCCGCGUGAGUGAUGACGGCCCUAUGGGUUGUAAAACUCUGUUGUUUGGAAAGAAUUGUAGAAUGAGGAAAUGCAUUCUACUUGACGGUACCAUUCAAGAAAGCUACGGCUAACUACGUGCCAGCAGCCGCGGUAAU
RNAcentral lists this ribosomal RNA (193 nucleotides) under uncultured rumen bacterium. RNAcentral's name for it is "partial 16S ribosomal RNA". It matches the Rfam family "Bacterial small subunit ribosomal RNA", at positions 340 to 524 of the family's 1533-position model. The record is from RNAcentral.